This 579-nucleotide ribosomal RNA is filed under the name uncultured bacterium. RNAcentral's name for it is "partial 16S ribosomal RNA". It matches the Rfam family "Bacterial small subunit ribosomal RNA", at positions 355 to 1376 of the family's 1533-position model. The record is from RNAcentral.
UAAGGAAUAUUGCUCAAUGGGAGAAAUCCUGAAGCAGCAACGCCGCGUGGAGGAUGAAGGGUUUUUAACUUGUAAACUCCUGUAAAGAAGGAAAAAAUUCCCAUUAGAUGGGAAAUGAUGGUACUUCUGGAGUAAGCCCCGGCUAACUACGUGCCAGCAGCCGCGGUAAUACGUAGGGGGCAAGCGUUGUCCGGAUUUACUGGGUGUAAAGGGUGCUCAGGCGGAUUUGUAAGUCAGAGGUGAAAUCUCACAGCUUAACUGUGAAACUGCCUUUGAUACUGCAAGCCUAGAGUAUGGAAGAGAGUGAUGGGAUAUCUGGUGUAGCAGUGAAAUGCGUAGAUAUCAGAUAGAACACCAAUGGCGAAGGCAGUCACUUGGUCCAUAACUGACGCUAAAGCACGAAAGCGUGGGUAGCAAACAGGAUUAGAUACCCUGGUAGUCCACGCCCUAAACGAUGAAUACUAGAUGUUGGCUUCGCAUGAAGUCAGUAUCUGAGCUAACGCAUUAAGUAUUCCACCUGGGAAGUACGAUCGCAAGGUUGAAACUCAAAUGAAUUGACGGGGUCAUAGCUGUUUCCUG